Molecule: transfer RNA, 73 nt
Filed under: Staphylococcus aureus
Lineage: Bacteria; Bacillati; Bacillota; Bacilli; Caryophanales; Staphylococcaceae
Description: tRNA-Phe-GAA
Source: RNAcentral
GGACUCAAUCCCUUGAUAUAUCUGCAUUUGAGCUAUUAUCCUCAUUUUUACACUUCUUAUUUAUUUAUAUCCA